AGACAACUAGGAUGUUGGCUUAGAAGCAGCCAUUCAUUAAAAGAGUGCGUAAUAGCUCACUAGUCGAGAGAUCUUGCGCCGAAAAUGUAACGGGGCUAAACUUACCACCGAAGCUACGGGCUUGAACUUAUGUUCAAGCGGUAGGAGAGCGUCGUAACCGGGCUGAAGUCGUACCGUAAGGAGCGGUGGACUGGUUACGAGUGAGAAUGUUGGCAUCAGUAGCGAGAUGUGGGUGAGAAUCCCACAGGCCGAAAACCUAAGGUUUCCUCAGGAAGGUUCGUCCGCUGAGGGUUAGUCGGGACCUAAGCCGAGGCCGAAAGGCGUAGGUGAUGGACAACUGGUUGAUAUUCCAGUACCACUACCAUCGUUAUUAUCGAUGGCGUGACGCAGGAGGAUAGUGUGUGCUAGCUAUUGGAUGCUAGUCUAAGCGUUUAGGCAGUGAGAGUAGGCAAAUCCGCUCUCAUAAUGCUGAGGCGUGAUGGGGAAGGUUCUACGGAACCGAAGUACAUGAUUCCACGCUGCCAAGAAAAGCGUCUAGAGAGAGAAGUAGUGCCCGUACCGCAAACCGACACAGGUAGGUGAGGAGAGAAUCCUAAGGCCGGCGGAAGAAUUACAGUUAAGGAACUCGGCAAAUUGACCCCGUAAGUUCGCGAGAAGGGGUGCCUACGAGAGUAGGCCGCAGAGAAUAGGCCCAAGCAACUGUUUAGCAAAAACACAGGUCUCUGCUAAAGCGUAAGCUGAUGUAUAGGGGCUGACGCCUGCCCGGUGCUGGAAGGUUAAGGGGAACACUUAGCGCAAGCGAAGGUGUGAACUUAAGCCCCAGUAAACGGCGGCCGUAACUAUAACGGUCCUAAGGUAGCGAAAUUCCUUGUCAGGUAAGUUCUGACCCGCACGAAUGGCGUAAUGACUUGGGCACUGUCUCAACUGUAAAUCCGGCGAAGUUGUAGUGCGAGUGAAGAUGCUCGCUACCCGCGAUUGGACGGAAAGACCCCGUAGAGCUUUACUGUAGCUUAGCAUUGAGUUUUGGUAUUGUCUGUACAGGAUAGGUGGGAGACUAGGAAACCAGGGCGUCAGCCUUGGUGGAGUCAACCUUGGGAUACCACCCUGACAGUACUGAAAUUCUAACUGGCGGCCAUGAAUCUGGUCACAGGACAUUGUUAGGUGGGCAGUUUGACUGGGGCGGUCGCCUCCUAAAAAGUAACGGAGGCGCCCAAAGGUUCCCUCAGAACGGUCGGAAAUCGUUCGAAGAGUGCAAAGGCAGAAGGGAGCCUGACUGCGACACCCACAAGUGGAGCAGGGACGAAAGUCGGGCUUAGUGAUCCGGUGGUACCUCGUGGGAGGGCCAUCGCUCAACGGAUAAAAGCUACCUCGGGGAUAACAGGCUGAUCUCCCCCAAGAGUCCACAUCGACGGGGAGGUUUGGCACCUCGAUGUCGGCUCG
Molecule: ribosomal RNA, 1440 nt
Filed under: human gut metagenome
Description: bacterial LSU rRNA
Rfam family: Bacterial large subunit ribosomal RNA
Source: RNAcentral